GGAAGAGGAACAACAUCCAUGUAUGGUUUGCAUCCAAGGCAUCAAACUCAUUUCUAAUGGCAUCCUGCCAUACUGGAACAGAUGCAGCUUGAGAGUAAUAGAGAGGUUCAGAUUCCAGAGAAGAAGAGCCUGAAAAGGAAGGAAGUUGACAGACAUAGUCCUUAAGAUAAGAGGGAGGAUUAUGAUGUCUUCCAGAUUUUCUGGGAGCAGGAAGAGAUGUGGAAGAAGGCAAAUCAGGAGGAGAAAUAUCAAGAUUGAAGGGGGGAAUGGAGGCUGGAUUAGAAGAAGGGGAAGUUGUGGCAGAAGGAGGAAGAGGAGAGGAACAGAUAGGUAUAAACAAGUUUGUAUCAAAGGAGGAAUGCUCAAGAGAAGGAACAAAAGGAAAGGAAGAAGGAGCAGGAAGAGCAGAAGAUGAAACAGUUUUAAAAGGAAAGUAGGUUUCAUGAAAUAUAACAUCCCUGGAGACAAAGUAUUUUUUGGAAGCGAGAUCAUAAAGCUUAUAACCCUUUUUGGCAAAAGGAUACCCAAUGAAUACACAAGAAAGGCUCUAGGUUUCAACUUGUCCCUUUGAGGAAUUGGCGAGACAAGGUAUUUUUUGGAAGUGAAAUCAUAAAGCUUAUAACCCUUUUUGGCAAAAGGAUACCCAAUGAAUACGCAGGAAACGGCUCUAGGUUUAAACUUGUCCCUUUGAGGAAUUGGGAUAGUAGCAUAGGCAAGGCACCCAAAUGCUGUCAAAUGAGAGUAGGUUGGUGCCUUUCCAUGCAAAACUUCAUAGGGAGAUUUAUGAUGAAGGAGUCUGGAUGGUAUUCUGUUAAGGAGAUAGGUGGCAGUUAGUAAGCAGUCCCCCAAGAAAGAGAUGGGUAAGCCAGAUUGAAAGAGUAAAGCUCUACAUGUCUCAAGAAGAGUCCUAU
This 911-nucleotide long non-coding RNA is filed under the name Nicotiana benthamiana. RNAcentral describes it as "long non-coding RNA (NBEN_LNC014838)". Lineage: Eukaryota; Viridiplantae; Streptophyta; Magnoliopsida; Solanales; Solanaceae. The record is from RNAcentral.